This is a non-coding RNA of Jatropha curcas, 1776 nucleotides long. The record is from RefSeq and is a predicted model, not a curated record. Lineage: Eukaryota; Viridiplantae; Streptophyta; Magnoliopsida; Malpighiales; Euphorbiaceae.
AAUAAAGAAGCGAUGGACAGUAAGGCAACUAAGCGCAUUCUCUUUUAACGUCUUCUACUUAGUUACAGAGACUAACGCGACAUUUUGCAAGAGAUGGCUUACUCUCUCCAGUUCUCGUUCGCUGCACCAGCUCUCGAACCUUACAUUAGAACCAAAGCUCGCCGUUUUCAAAUUCUCUGUUGUUCAGUAGAGUCCAGAGUUCAAAAGGGAGAAGAUGACGAUGAGGCCAGCAAUUGGAGGGGUCAUUGCAAAUCGAAUGUGAUUUUGGUGGAGAGAUAUAGCAAUGGAACUGCUAGAAGAUACAUGUUGGAUGAUGACUUGCAAUUAAAAAGUUUUCUUGAGGAACAUGGUGCCAAAAAUAGCAGGUCCCAAGAAUCACAUUCGUCUGGCACAAAAUUAUUAUGGCUUCCAUAUAUUGUCAAAGAUUUUAUUCUACCUGCAGGCUUCCCAGGAUCAGUUUCAGAUGACUACUUGCAGUACAUGUUAUUACAGUUCCCUACCAAUGUUACUGGGUGGAUCUGUCACACGUUAGUCACAUCAAGUCUUCUCAAGGCUGUUGGUGUUGGCUCUUUCACAGGUACUACAGCUGCUGCUUCUGCUGCUGCCAUCAGAUGGGUGUCAAAGGAUGGCAUCGGAGCUCUAGGACGUUUAUUCAUUGGUGGACGGUUUGGAAAUCUUUUUGAUGAUGAUCCAAAACAAUGGCGCAUGUAUGCAGACUUCAUUGGCAGUGCAGGAAGCAUCUUUGAUCUAACCACCCAAGUGUAUCCUGGCUACUUCCUACCAUUGGCUUCCCUUGGAAAUCUUACAAAGGCUGUAGCAAGAGGAUUAAAAGAUCCCUCAUUCCGUGUAAUUCAGAACCAUUUUUCAAUCUCAGGAAAUCUAGGAGAGGUAGCUGCAAAGGAAGAAGUUUGGGAAGUAGUUGCUCAGUUGCUUGGCCUUGGUUUUGGCAUAUUGAUCCUGGAUACACCUGGCCUCGUAAAAUCUUUUCCAUUGUUGGCAUCAACAUGGAUGAGCAUGCGGCUCCUGCACCUUUGGUUACGUUAUUUAUCACUUUCAGUUCUACAGUUUGACACAAUAAAUCUCAAGCGGGCUCGUUUACUGGUGAAAUCACAUAUUUUACACAAUUUUGUUUUAGGAUGUGUUGAUUGUAAUCGAGAAGAAAAUAUUUUAUCGUGGGAAACUUUCAUGACGCCACGGAUUACUUUUGGUGUACCCUUAGAGGAGAUGGUCGGCAGCGGCAGAUCUGUUACCAAGGUGCAUGCUUUUACCCAGAGGUGCUUGCCUGAGUGAGGUUGCCUGCCUGAGGACAUUUGAGGCGCAAGCCCUUGAGCCAUAAGGCACACCUUUAAUAACUCCAAUCGAGGUCCUUUUACCAUUUAAGUUGCACUUGUUUGCGCUGUUGUCCUUCUGAAGUGUCAAGGCAUCAAUUAGGUCCUCGUUUUGAUCAUCUGGGUCAAAGUCCUGAAGAAAUGAGCUUCAUAUUUUAGAAGUUGACUACACAAUUAUAAAUAAUAAGGACUUCAUCAACUUGUUUUGGUACUUUUGAAUUGAAAUAAGCCAUAAAAUACAAGGUAGCUGUCCCCUUCCCAUAAACCUCCCUGUUCCUUCAUCUAGGAUCUGAACCUGAGACCUUGUGAUGGGAAAGAAAUCUUUAUCAAGUGAAGACACUUUUAAAACUAUAUGCAAAGGAAAAAUAUUUUCUUAUGGUAAACCAACAAAGAAGGGACUUUGAGGUGUUUGUGUCAUUCAAGGUUGGAGCUACUAGUAUGUCGGUCU